Non-coding RNA from Gymnothorax javanicus (giant moray), 80 nucleotides. Lineage: Eukaryota; Metazoa; Chordata; Actinopteri; Anguilliformes; Muraenidae. The record is from the annotation of a GenBank genome assembly.
UCGAGGGUAGGUCAGUGGUUUAGUGUGCUUGACUGGGGAUCAAAAGAUUGUGAGUUCAAGUCCUGGCCACAGCCUUCGCG